AUUGAACGCUGGCGGCAGGGCUUAACACAUGCAAGUCGAGCGGCAGCGACUUGAACUGAACCUUCGGGGAACGCUAAGGGCGGCGAGCGGCGGACGGGUGAGUAAUGCCUGGGAAUAUGCCCUGAUGUGGGGGAUAACUAUUGGAAACGAUAGCUAAUACCGCAUAAAUCUCUUCGGAGCAAAGAGGGGGACCUUCGGGCCUCUCGCGUCAGGAUUAGCCCAGGUGGGAUUAGCUUGUUGGUGAGGUAAUGGCUCACCAAGGCAACGAUCCCUAGCUGGUCUGAGAGGAUGAUCAGCCACACUGGAACUGAGACACGGUCCAGACUCCUACGGGAGGCAGCAGUGGGGAAUAUUGCACAAUGGGGGAAACCCUGAUGCAGCCAUGCCGCGUGUGUGAAGAAGGCCUUCGGGUUGUAAAGCACUUUCAGUAGGGAGGAAGGUAGUGUAGUUAACACCUGCAUUAUUUGACGUUACCUACAGAAGAAGCACCGGCUAACUCCGUGCCAGCAGCCGCGGUAAUACGGAGGGUGCGAGCGUUAAUCGGAAUUACUGGGCGUAAAGCGCAUGCAGGCGGCCUGUUAAGUCAGAUGUGAAAGCCCGGGGCUUAACCUCGGAAUUGCAUUUGAAACUGGCAGGCUAGAGUCUUGUAGAGGGGGGUAGAAUUUCAGGUGUAGCGGUGAAAUGCGUAGAGAUUGAAGGAAUACCAGUGGCGAAGGCGGCCCCCUGGACAAAGACUACUCUCAGAUGCGAAAGCGUGGGGAGCAAACAGG
RNAcentral lists this ribosomal RNA (770 nucleotides) under uncultured bacterium. Its description in RNAcentral is "bacterial SSU rRNA". It matches the Rfam family "Bacterial small subunit ribosomal RNA", at positions 28 to 776 of the family's 1533-position model. The record is from RNAcentral.